RNAcentral lists this ribosomal RNA (306 nucleotides) under uncultured Chloroflexota bacterium. Its description in RNAcentral is "bacterial SSU rRNA". It matches the Rfam family "Bacterial small subunit ribosomal RNA", at positions 28 to 351 of the family's 1533-position model. Lineage: Bacteria; Bacillati; Chloroflexota. The record is from RNAcentral.
GAUAAACGCUGGCGGCGUGCAUUAUGCAUGCAAGUCGAACGGUGUCGCAAGACACAGUGGCAAACGGGUGAGUAACACGUAAGUAACCUGCCUCUGAGUGGGGAAUAACUUCGGGAAACUGAGGCUAAUACCGCAUAUGGCGCGCCCUCGAUGGAGGGUUCACCAAAGCCGCAAGGCGCUCGGAGAGGGGCUUGCGUCCGAUUAGCUAGUGUGGGUAACGCUACCAAGGCUGUGAUCGGUAGCUGGUCUGAGAGGAUGGUCAGCCACACUGGGACUGAGACACGGCCCAGACACCUACGGUGGCUG